AGGACGAACGCUGGCGGCGCGCUUAACACAUGCAAGUCGAGCGAGAACCAGGGCUUCGGCCCUGGGGAAAGCGGCGAACGGGUGAGUAACACGUGAGUAACCUGUCCUCGGCACCGGGAUAGCCCGGGGAAACCCGGAUUAAUACCGGAUGGCCUUUCGAGCUCUCGGGCUCGUUAGAAAAGGUAGCUUCGGCCUCCGGCCGAGGAGGGACUCGCGGCGGAUUAGCUUGUUGGUGAGGUAACGGCUCACCAAGGCAACGAUCCGUAGCUGGUCUGAGAGGAUGAUCAGCCACACUGGGACUGAGACACGGCCCAGACUCCUACGGGAGGCAGCAGUGGGGAAUAUUGGACAAUGGGCGCAAGCCUGAUCCAGCCAUGCCGCGUGAGUGACGAAGGUCUUCGGAUUGUAAAACUCUUUUGGCGGGACGAUAAUGACGGUACCCGCAGAAUAAGCCCCGGCUAACUUCGCGCCAGCAGCCGC
This 480-nucleotide ribosomal RNA is filed under the name uncultured bacterium. Its description in RNAcentral is "SSU rRNA". It matches the Rfam family "Bacterial small subunit ribosomal RNA", at positions 26 to 518 of the family's 1533-position model. The record is from RNAcentral.